Long non-coding RNA from Struthio camelus australis, 4470 nucleotides. RefSeq lists it as uncharacterized. Lineage: Eukaryota; Metazoa; Chordata; Aves; Struthioniformes; Struthionidae. The record is from RefSeq and is a predicted model, not a curated record.
GCCUCCUCUCUCGGUUGGACCCAGUGCCCUAAGCAGCCGAGGAGAGACCCCCGGCCGCCCGGCUCGCAGGUAUCUUUUUAAUGCUGAAAUGGGCAUACUAAUUGUGAACGAUGCGGUAAGAAGCUCCUUCUAAAAUAUGCAGUGACUUAUUUACUGGAAUUUUACAGGCCAUGCACUUAAAGCUUCUUUUGCCUCUCAUCACGUGAACAAACCUCGCAAGCCUUAUUGCCAGCUCAGGAUUCUGCGCAGUAACAGUGACGCUGAAGCAAACCCCACCAUUAGACAGUGCCGAGAAAUUGGCCUGGGACCUACGGCGGGAGGAGAGACCUCGUUACCAGAAUUUGCUCACAGUUAUGCUUUUGGCAACUGGCGUGUCCAUGUCACUCGGAGCUGCCACCUCUGUGUCUUCAGACAGAGCUCCACGAGUGGUGGCAGAGCAAAUUGUAGUCUUCAUUUUGCAGUACCAAGAGAGACCAAUUAUUUACAUAUCCAAACGGCAGAAUCUACUAGGUCACUUCCUGCGACCCAUUACUUUGAACCACAAGGCUUUCCAAAAGCCCUAAAAAGAAAUGGGAUGUAGUUUGGGGUCUAAAAGUUUUAUUGAUGUUUUUGGUGCGAGUUUCCUUUUUUAUUGUAUCAUCUGUUUUUUGUCCUGCCGGAUGAACAUGAAAUAUGGGAUGUUUCUGUCAUUGCUUACAAAGAAUGACUGUUUAAAGGGACUGUCAGAGAUCAGAAGACAAAUCUCUGACCCUCCUUAAGACUGUUUUAAUCUGAAGAAGAAGGUCUUUUAAUAGCUAGGUUUUUAGAGAGUUUAUUUUACUUUGUAAGGAAACUUACUGAUUCAUGCCAAGACUACUCCUUUAUAACAGCUUGAUUAGACUUUCAAUUCAGUAUUUCUUAUAUUCUUUUGCUUAUUAAUUUAGGCAAAUAUUUAACUCUGUGUUUAAAUGACGCACUAUUUUUCCACGCUUCAGACAUUUUUUCCUGAAUCCGAGCCUUGAGUUUACUGACCGUUAGUACAAUUUCCAGAAAUGUAUUGUCACCAGUGAGAGUGCUGCGUACCAAGAUAUACGCAUGUAGAUGUUAAGGGGGAGCACAGAUAAUGAUGUUUUUUUUAAAAAACAACUCCAUUCACCGAAGAAGCAGUGGGAAGUCAAAGUUAUUCAACAAAAAUGAAUAAGUGCAGCCUGGAAAGGUAUUUAUUUUCCAAACUGCAAGAGAAUCUUGAAAACAAUAGGCAUAACAUUAAAAAAAAAGCCUAAAUAAAUUGCUUGAUUAAUUUUCUAAAAAAACUCUAAAACGUAAAAAAAUAGCAUUUGAUAAUGAAGAAAAUCCUCUGGAGUUGUUUGACCUGGUGUUUAGGGAACCCUGGGAGAACUGGACUGGGAACUGCUCUCUGCUGCCAUUGCAAAAGUGUGUAGGGCAUUUAAUCUCUGUUAGUUGCCCUGUCUGUAGACAGAGAUCAUAACGUCGACUUCUAUCAAGUUUCUUGAAAUCUUUAAAUAUACAAGUUUAUUCUUUAAGGAUUAUUUUCAUAAUGAACCAAAUAGAGUGGUUCAUAAUGUACUUAAAAAUUGAUAAUUGGAUUUAGUGCUUCUGAGAUAAAAGACAGUCUGGUCUACUUAGCAUGAAAGAGCUGGUUCCUUAAUUCGGAGGUCGUAGGGGCAGCUCUAAGUUUAUUUUUAUUUAUUUAUUUGUAUACUCUUUAAUGCUAUCAUAUCUAGGAUAUGCAUAUCUCUGGAGACUGACAGAAGGUAGGGUGGCUGUGAGUCAAAACACUUCCACUAGGAGAUACAGCGAUCAGCAGAGUUCUGUCUUCCUCACAAAAACAUGGUAUGCGUUAGUUAGCAUGGCACAUAUUUCAAAUUUCAGAUACUAAACUUUCAGGAACACCUUUUUCUGUCCCAUUUGUUAAAUGUUAUUGUUGGAAGACCUCUUACCUUCAGAGCAAUGCAGGUUGGGUCAUGGGUUCUUGCAGGAUUUUACUAGGAAGAAAAGGUCUAAUGGAGAUGCACAGAGACCCUUGUGCAGAUGGCUUUGUUCUGCUGCUCAUUUCCUGGAGCUUCAGGAACUGCUCGUAGGUUCUUUUCUGAAGGAGUCUGAGCAGAGGUGAAUACUGCUCAAGUGAAAUUUAGAAAGUGGGAAUAUUUUUCUACUGGUCCUUGGUCUGUGCUUGUAUGAUAAGGAAGAUGAGGCACCCAGGAACUUUUGCACUGUAUUUUCAUCUUAAUUUCCAAAUUUUUCUUCUGCUGGGUGCUGUGCAACAAGGGAAUAUCAGACACUCACAUUGUGAAUUAACUGAGAGCUUAAGUGAAGUAAUUCAUUCUCUGCAAAAUUUCUCGGAUUUUUAAAUACAGCAAGAGCUAGCUGCAAAAGUAUCAGGAAAAGCAGAGGUUUUCAGGAGGGAAGUUGGUAUAGAAAACACUAAAACCCAGGCUAAUUCUAUUUAUUUUAUUCAGAUAGGUAGUGCCAUUGGUUUCUUUAGGAUUUCUUGAAAGAACAAGGCAAGAAAGGCUGGGGUGGUUGUGAAUCUCCUUCAGAAACUGUUGGUGAUGGAACUACAUUCCUGUUACUUAUUUCAGGCUACAUGAAAGGAAGUUACUGGGAAAUUAGUGGAACUUGCAGCAAACCUAUACAAGAGUAAAAUAAAACAAGAAGACUAUCUCUCCACAGAUAAGACUGGAAGUACCGACACUGUCAACAAUGGCAAUAGGCCAGUAAGCACGGAGCGGGUGCUGGGUGAUGUCUCCUGACCCCAGCUUCAUGAUGCUGUCCCUUAGCUUGGCCUAAGCUUGAGCUGUUUGGUAUGCACACAGCCCAGAUUGCUUAACCGCUCUGUCUCAAUAGCAGGCAAACUCAGCACUUUCCUAGGAGGUGUGACUUUACCAGAAAGACAAGUGGCUGUUUCUCACUGCGGAUGCAUGCAAGGGGAUCAUGUGGGCCUGAGACUUCUCUUGCAUAUCAUAAAGCAUGCCUUAGGUUUCCAUCUGAGUGUCGGUUUAUGCUCUCACAACAUAUAACCUCGGAACACAGGUCCGAGGUUAUAUAGACAGAGACCUUAAAAAAAUCUUGCAUUCAUGUUUGGAACUUUAAGGGUAGGAAAGGCCAACUGCAGAAUCAAAACCAAAUCAAACGAAUCAAAUGCAGAACAAAACCAAAUCAGAAAGGUUUAUCAGAGUACCACAAUUAGGAAUGUGGCAUUUUGCUGUUUAGAUUACCGUUGAAGUGGCAAAGAUGUCUCUUACCUGCUGCCUGCUUUGUGGCAGGUGCCAGCUCAUAGCUCAAGUACAGGUGUAUAAAACGGCUGUCAUACCACAGACACAUGCUUGCCAGAUGUCACCAAGGAUGUCAGACCCUAUUAAAAAAUAAGAAACCAUAUUAUUAUAUUAGAAAGGGAUGCGUUAGGAUUGUUGGUAAGAUAAAGAUGAAAAUAGAUAAAACCAUUACGUCCUUCCGAAUAAUCUCUCAUAUAUUAACUGCCUUUAAUUAGAUCUAGAGUGGUUUAAAUUCUUAUAUUUUAAUUGUAAAAAUGGCUAAUUUGUGUAUAGCUUUUUCAUGUUACUAUUCCACGUUACUUUAAUUGGAGUACUUAUGUAAGUUCAGGAAGCAGGAUUUCAUUCCAUCUGGUGAUUACUUAUUUACUUACAUUAAUCACACAGUCAGAAAACACAGAAUUAAAAAAAAAAAAGUAACUACCGGGAACUUGACUGAACAUACUAGAGAAAUUAAUUUGACUAAAUGUGUCCAUAUGGAGCCUGAAAAUUUCAACAUAUUUCAAAAAAUUAAUAUAGGAAACAAAUGGAGAACUGCAAAUGCUAGGAUUUCCCCAAGAAGCAUAAUUUUUCCUAUUAUUUGAACUAGCUUAUAUAUAAAGCUGCUUUUGAAGCUACUUACACUUUAUUAUUGUUAUAAUUCAUGUAUUAGAUAUACUUAUUGAAAUUGAAGCUAUUCCCUUUCAUUCCACUGUGAAUCUCUAACCCAAAUUAAAUACCUAAAAAGACCUAUUAUGUGACCUUAGGGACCGAAAAAAAAAAAAAAAGAAGAAGUUUCUACUGGGUCAUAUUAAGUUCUACAGUAAAAUAUUUUCAGACUUAAGCAGGUGCUUAACUCACCUGAGGAAGAGUAAUGCAUACUGUAAGCAACCUUUGAGAAGCUGGGCACUUUCCAGUUUGUGAAGCAUAUCAUUCUGGUGUCUUUCAAAUGCACUAAGGUAACCUACAGAUCAUUUACCAGCAGCAGAUAAUUACUCGAGAUCCUCUCCUAAAUCAGCAAGAAGCCUACAAGUGGAUGUGUAUACAAUAUAAUAUGACCAUCCUAUCUGCUCCUCUAGACGUGGAAGGCAUUUUGUAUUCUCUAAUAAUUUAGUUAGCCAGUAAUAUGCUGAAAUUCGCCGAGUGAUUUAUGCUGGCACAAGGUAUCAGAUUACAGCACAGACGGUGGUUUUGCUUUAUUGUUGGACAUUUGGAUUAC